Molecule: non-coding RNA, 4190 nt
Organism: Meleagris gallopavo (turkey)
Lineage: Eukaryota; Metazoa; Chordata; Aves; Galliformes; Phasianidae
Source: RefSeq, a predicted model, not a curated record
GCCAGAAGAAAUCCCAGCUGCAGAGGUUGUUGAUGGCAUUUGGGCAGCCCCACAAAGCUGCAAACAGUUGGUAUGUGACUUAAACUCAGUGACUCCUGUGAAGUGUAACCCCAGCAAGCUCCACAGUGAUUUGUAGAGAUCAAAGCAACUUCCUCUUCUGUCAUAAUGAAACACUUGAAUUCUUGGAUAAUCUGAACAUGAAACUAAGUGUCACCAGAAAGCAGUAGGAGAAAAGUGUUAAAAGUUGCCAAAGAGAAAAAGGAGAAAUUACAGUGAAAGAUUCACUCACAGCACACGUGUAAGAACUAUCUUCACCCAGAUAUUUCCCCUAAACCACAGCAAAGGUCUCCAUUUCUUACAGUGUUCCACUGUCCCUGCUGAGAAAUCCUGGACCCAGCAGGUCCCGUUAGGAGCCAAUAGCUGGGGGAUUCCUGCAUCUCAGAACAGUCUCUAUGGAGACUCAAAGUGGGGUGACAUCCUACAAACCAACAGUGAUAGAAAACCGCAUUGGCACCAUCAGAGGAUCAGAGGGUGCUGUGCUCAGCCGUGUGCCACAAGGGAUGAUUUAGUUUAUCUGGGUGUAAAUCAGAUGUGACUCAUCAGCAGACACUGCACAGUCAAACGUGCAGAAAACACAUCGGCACUGAAUGAGAGCCUGAAACACAGCUCGUUAUUUAAAGAGAAUUAUGAGAAUGCCAUGAGUUUCAAGAAGAUCAACCCCACUGAGGAAGUGAAAGCCAAGAGUUAUAGAUGUAGCGAUAGGAGGCCCUGAGGAUUUAUUAACUCUUUUGUUUAGACUUACUAAAAAGGAAUGACACCCAUUAUAGUGUAUCACGGGAGUGAGCUAUCUAACAGCCCUGUGGCUGUGACUGCAGUGGAGCUCUGUGAUAAGGUGAGGAGACUGUGACUUUCCUGUGAUGAAACAUUCAGUAAAAGAGAAGUUUUUGCUUUGUAAAUUAUUUAGUCGAUUCAAGAGUUUUCUCAAACAAAUAUUGUCCUACAAAUAAGUACCUUUAAGGGCAAACUACCCCAUUCUCAAGAGACUUGUAUACUUGUGCAUGUCUGAAAUGUUUCUGUUUUUUUCUUGUCAACUCUAAGCAAUCCAUAGCCAUGUUGUUUCAGGAAGAUACCCUCUGGCUCCAUGGGCUCACCACCUCCUGAACUGCAGUGGCAUUUGCUGUUCUGAACACGGUGAUACUCAAAGCUUGGCACUGGUUUGGAGAACACAAGUAAGGGAUGCUACUUCGGCAGUUCCUCCUGCAGAUGGAGUUCCAACAUCCCCCUGAGUUAUUCAGCCAUGUCCCUCUUACUAAUUGCUUCUGGAAUCCAGUUUGGCUUUCUCUUCAGUUUAAAUAUGGCAAUAUGUUGAACCAGGAUAGUUGAAAUGCAACUGGGAUUGGCUGUCUUUUUUUUUUUUGGAAAACAGUUUUCAGCUGUCCCUCUGAUACAACAACAGGAGAGUAUCAGAUUAGAAGUCCUGUCUCACACCAUGAUUUCUAGCACUGUUCCACGAGGAUGCUCAGUCCUUUUUGAGUACAUCUUUUAUUUUCAUUUGGGUGAGCUUUGUUGCAGCUUAAUAUUAUUGAAAGUUAAAGGACAGAUUGGAGACUGAUUAUAAGGGUAUGGUGUACCAUGGGAAAAGCCUAGUAAUACAAACACUUUGCCUGAGACUCAAUGACUCUGUGUUCUGCAAAAGCUACUGCUGACAUCUCUCGCGUUUUUAUUGAUCUUAUAGAUUCAGUACCGGGAUACUUAGAGUUUAGCUUUGCUUUGGGGACUUGCUUAUUUUACCUGAAUUUUCUCAAAAUGCAAGAGAUUAAAGUGAUCUGAUAGAUUUUUGAAUGUUGGCCUAGAGAAAAAUAUAUAAAAAGUUUCUCAUUCAAGGUAAGCCAGCUGUCUCCAAUUACCUCUCACUUCUGCCACCAGAUUUCUGACAUCCAGAAGCUCCUGUUGCAAACUCAGGCUGGGGGUGGCAGAGCAUUCCCCUUCCCUGCAGGGACAUUUCCUGCCUUCCUAACAGGAACUGUGUGCAAGUGUGGUACUUCCAAGGACAUAAAUGAGUGCUUUAGUUGUUAUUUUACUUAAUAUGAAAAGGUUAAAAGAACCAUGAAAACAUAUAGCGAUGUGGAAAUUAAUGAUGGUAUCUCUUGUAAGCUAGAGAUGUGUAUGUACCCAUCCACCUGUAAUGUUUUAAAAUAUACAUGGCAAAGUGCAUAGUGAUAACGUAUUUGAUUUUAUCUGCUAUAAACAUAUAUACAUGUCAGACAAAUAGCUUCUCUUCCUUCCUACUCCCUGUAUUGAUAAAAUCCAGAGAGGAUUUGAUCUGAGUGUGCUUCUCCACAUUAUUCAACUCAACGAUGCUCUCAAAAAGUUCAAAUAUUUAAAUUGGUUCAAAGUCAGAAUAUUAAUAGCAGUUCUUAGAAAUUCAGUAAUAGUAACAUUUUCCCAGCUGAAGGAUACCAUCACAAAUGGCUACAUCAUGAGCGUAUGUAGUUGAUUACUUUGCAACAAUUAGGAACACAGAUGAAGUAUAGGGAAACUUCCACUUGUCUAGGUGAGGAGAAACAGUGAAGCACCCUCAGCCCCUGACAGCUAAAAAAGCCUGCUGAUAUUACUAACAAAUAAAUCUUAAGGCAGCUCAACACUGCAGUAUGGUGUGUAAUCCAGUAAGUGAGGGCUUGGAUUUUAGGUUGUCCCCUCCCACCGAACCAGAAACCCGCAGGACAGCACUGCAAGGUCGUGGCACCACCAGGGGACAUUUAGCUGGCACCAGCUACAGGCUCCCAUCACAGUGGCAUGGGGCAGGAUGUGCCACCAGCCAAACCUUUGGCCCCCGCCAUCCCUGUGCACCACCACAUGUGUGCAUGUGCAACCCUUGUACAUCAGGACUGAGAGAGCAGUGCAUAAAAAUAAGCUUUAAAGGCAACUGAUGUCUGAGCACCUACAACUGAAUAAGGAAAGACACACUGCUGCUCAGUGCAGCAGUCCCUUCCAGCUCAGUUCACCAGUUUUGGUGUAGAUGCACAUUGUUUAUUUUAAAAACACCAGCUGUGGUGAAAGAGGGCUGCCAAGGGGAAAUGCAGCUUUUUCCAAAGGUACAGUUUUUCAAUUAAAAAUACAGAGAGAAAGCAGGCAAAACUUACAUGGAAAAUUCAGCAGGCAAGGAAACAAGCCGUGCACAAUGCUACACUGCAGCUCCGCACCUCCUAGAGCAAAAGGGAGAGCACAUGCUUCACUUCAAGCUCUCUUUAAAACACAUCCCUAAUUAUGAAAUCAUUACCAGCAAUCUGCAUGAUAAGGAAAGAAUUAUUAUAUUAACCUGGGAUCUUCAGGGCACUCUGAGAGACUGUGGAGCAGCCCUGCUGCAGCCAGGCAGCAUGCUCCCUCCCCGCUGCCAUUCUGUGAGUCACUUCUGCCUUUAAUCUCCCAUUAAAAUCCUUUCUAGCCUCUUCAGUUUAUGGCUCUGUUGCUGCAAGGUGGUUUGUGGCACACUGUAUUGCUAAUCCUUGGGAUUGCAGCGUAUUGAGAACAGAAUAAUUGAAAACAGCUUGAAGCAGUAGUAGUUAGGCACACAAAUCAAUGACAGAUAAUCAUUUAAGCACAAACCAAAACAGACAUUUACAUGGAAAACAAUCACAGCCUUGGAGGUACACCCUACUCUUGCCAUGCGGAAUCUUUCAGGAUUUGGCAGAGCACCCUCUGAUGCCAAAACCCACUGCCAGCACAUGGCUGUUCCCACAAGACAGCACUGGCACAGCCCUGCCAGAACCUGAGCCCAGCUGUCAGUGGGACAGUGCAGGCCAUGAAGGCUGCAUGCUUCUGGCAGAGCCCAACCACACUGCCAGCUGUGCCCCAGAGUGUUGGUGGUGCUUGACGGGUCCCCCAGUGUCCCUCAGCUUGGAGGCAAUGCAGGACUGCAUCCUGCCGCAAGACCUGAAGGGCCAUUGCCCUUCCACAGUAGUGGUGAGAUGGUGGGCUCUGCUGGGUGCCCUACACAGGGCACAGGGUCCUGCUGGGUGCCCUAUGCUGGCCAUGGGGCCCCGCUGGGGUCCCUGUGCUGGGCACAGGUGGCAGAGGACAUGGAGGGACUGCUGCUGACUUGCUUGUGCAGAUGGGAGCACAUAUUUGCCUGUUGUGUUCUGAUGACAAUCGUAUUUAUACCAGCUGGUUGAAAUGUUUUAAUAAAUGAU